Anolis carolinensis (green anole) is the source of this 10406-nucleotide RNA transcript. It is a transcript of the gene named Ral GTPase activating protein catalytic subunit alpha 1, with no coding region annotated. NCBI's taxonomy places the organism in Eukaryota, Metazoa, Chordata, Lepidosauria, Squamata, Anolidae. The record is from RefSeq and is a predicted model, not a curated record. The transcript is spliced from 42 exons.
GGCGGUUGCCAUGAGGACCCAGGCCUUCGCGCCUGACGGCUGCUGUCGUGAAGCUGUGGAACGAGAGCCUCGCUAGAGAGGGAGUGAAGGGAGAGACGGGAGGAGGCGGAGCGCGGCGCUGGGGUUGGGGAAAGAAGAAGGAGAAGCAGGAGAAAGAGUCGAGAGCCGGUCCUGCUGCCGCUGCUGCUGCGGUUGCUGCUGCUCCGCGUGCAGGGCCUGGGGGUGCGCCGGCCGCACCCGCCGCUGAGGGGCCUCGAUGUAGGAGCCUCCCUGAGGGGCGCGGAUCCGGAGGCCGCAGCGCAGGAGACCCGCAGGGACUGUAGCAGCAGGAGGAGGAGGACGAGGCGGAGCAGGGCCCCCCGCGGGCGGGAUGUUCUCCAAGAAGCCCCACGGCGAUGUGCGGAAAUCCACGCAGAAGGUGCUGGACACCCGCAAGGACCCGCUCACCCGCCUCAAGCACCUGCGCGUCGUUAUCGAGAAUGCAGAGUCUAUAGAUCUUAAGCAGUUUUUCGACCAACAUUUUUCACACAUAUAUUAUGUGUUCUUUGAAAAUUUUGUGACUAUCGAAAUUGGUCUCAGACAGAAAGGUCACAAGUCGCAGAGGGAAGAAUUAGACGCAAUACUUUUCAUUUUUGAGAAAAUAUUGCAACUUCUUCCAGAAAGAAUUCAGCAAAGAUGGCAGUUUCACAGUAUUGGCUUAAUUUUAAAGAAAUUACUUCAUACAGGAAAUUCUUUAAAGAUUCGCCGUGAAGGUGUACGUCUUUUCCUCUUAUGGUUGCAAGCACUUCAGAAUAAUUGUAGUAAAGAACAGUUGUGUAUGUUUUCUUGUUUAAUACCUGGAUUUCCACCACCACAGUCUGAACAUGGGCCUCGAACACUAGAUAAUCUCAUAAACCCUGUACUGUAUGUUCAAGAAACACAGGUGACUGCAGAAGAAAUUAUUCCCCUUGUCCCUCCACAAUCAGGAGAUAAAGGACAAGAUGAUCUAACAAGCUAUUUUUUAGAAGCACUUUUGAAAUAUAUAGUAAUUCAGGUCAAAAGUCUAGAAUGGAAGAACAAAGAAAACCAAGAAAAGGGAUUUUCAUUCUUAUUUUCACAUUUUAAAAAAUAUUACUUGCCUUAUAUUUUCCCAAACAUGUGCAAGGAGAGCAGCUUGUAUAACCCUGUACUUGAGAUACCACAGAUGAGACCAAAGCCACAUUACAUAAUGAUAAAGAAAGAUGCUGAAACCAAUGAAGCAAUAUAUUGCACAAAGGAACCUUUCCUUAAAGCUCGUGUUAUUGUCAUCCGAUGGUUGGUGUCUUUCUGGCUUGAGCCAAAACCCCAUACAGGUCCUCAGAUUCCUGGAAUGGAAGGUGAAAUUGUGCCAAAGAAUAUUCAGAGAGCAGCUGCUAGCCUGGUUUCUAGAGAAGACAGCAAAAAUGAUAAUACAGAUAGACCUGAUAGAAAUGCAGAGCCAGAACAGUCGCAUUCUAACACAAGCACACUAACUGAACGAGAACCUAGUUCCUCCAGCCUUUGCAGUAUUGAUGAAGAGCACCUCACAGACAUUGAAAUCGUCCGCAAAGUUUUUUCUUCUAAAAGAAGCAACGUUAACUUUCUUACAGAAAUCUUUCGUCAGGCAUUUUUACUGCCAAUAUGUGAAGCAGCAGCCAUGAGGAAAGUUGUGAAAGUAUACCAGGAAUGGAUCCAACAAGAAGAAAAGCCCUUAUUUAUGAAGGACCCAGAAGAGAUCAUGUCAUCUUUACAGAUAGACUGUGAUGAAAACAUUGGAGAGCAUAAUUCAUCAGAGAAAGGAAAAGAAAGGGAAGAGGAAACGAUAGGUAAUUCUGGACCUGUUCGAAAUUCAAGCUGGGCAAGAAAUGGAAGUUAUCAGGAGGUUCCCCAGAAAAUAUCAGACUCUGAUGCUGUAGAACAAGGUAUACGAGCUGGAGUACAGGCAGUAUUACAGGUGUUUAUAACAAAUUCUGCAAAUAUAUUUCUUCUUGAGCCAGCAAAUGAGAUUAAACCCCUGUUGGACGAACAUACAGACAUGUGUAAACGCAUUCUUAAUAUCUACCGUUACAUGGUGGUGCAAGUAACAAUGGAUAAGAAGACCUGGGAACAAAUGCUGCUUGUGCUGCUCAGAGUCACAGAAUCAGUACUGAAAAUACCAUCUCAGAUUUUCCUACAGUAUCAAGGAAGAAAGAAUUCAACAUUAGCAGGAAGGCUUGCUGGACCUCUUUUCCAGACUCUUAUAGUAGCUUGGAUCAAAGCAAACCUAAAUGUGUACAUCUCCCGAGAACUUUGGGAUGACCUUUUGUCAGUAUUGUCAUCACUGACUUACUGGGAAGAGUUGGCCACAGAGUGGUCCCUAACUAUGGAGACCCUGACGAAAGUAUUAGCUAGAAACCUAUAUAGCCUGGAUCUUGGUGACUUGCCACUGGAUAAGUUAAGUGAGCAGAAACAAAAGAAGCACAAAGGCAAAGGAGUUGGGCAUGAGUUUCAUAAGGCAUCUGUUGAUAAGUCAUUUUCAAGAGGCUGGAGUCGUGAUCAACCUGGACAGGCACCAAUGAGGCAGCGCAGUGCAACAACUACUGGAUCUCCGGGAACAGAAAAGGCCAGAAGCAUAGUACGACAAAAAACAGUUGCCAUGAGAAGCCGAUCCAUUGGUGAAUGUGCUCUACCAUCGGCCUAUAUACGCAGUGCUAAAAGUGCUCCUGUUCUGAUCCAUACUUCCAAACCCUUCUUGCCUGAUAUUGUUCUCACUCCCCUUUCUGAUGAGCUUUCAGACAUGGAUGAUGCUCAGAUCCUUCCACGUCCACCUCGCAUCAGACAUUUUUCACAGAGCGAGGAAACUCCUAGUGAAGUUUUUGAUGCGCUGAAUGAAGAGCAACCACUUCCACGAAGUAGCAGUACAUCUGACAUCCUGGAACCAUUCACAGUUGAACGAGUCAAAGGUGCAGUUCCUGUCAUUGACGGUUCAUCUCAUCAUGCUCCAAGCUUGCAGAGUUCCACAGAGGCCUCUUCAAUAUGUAGAUCCACUGAAAGUCAUAUUACUGAUACAAAUAGCAGAGAGUCCUCUCUGGAAGUUGGGGAUAGUAUUUAUGACCAUCUCUGUCACUUAGUAAGCUCGGUAGAACUUUCAGAUACAGCCUCUGAACAAAACCAGUAUGUUGACCUUGAAGGUGAAGAUGAUCUUCUUUCAUCUCUGAGAGAAUAUCUUAAGGAAAAAGAAGAACUUUGCAGUAGCAUUGAAAUAGAUAAACAUGAGUCUGCUCUUCAUGAAGCUGACACAGGAAUAAAUAGUGAUAAAUUGCCAUUGGAUGGAAUAGAGAGUACAAACCAGACUGUUACAUGUACUAGUAGUAUCGCUAUUGCAGAAAGUGUUGAAAAUCCAGAGAUGCAACUGGAGCAAAACCAAAGUGGCUUUAUAAGUAACAUUGCACCUAGACAAGUAGACAGUUUUACAAGAAGCCAAGCUGAUAAAGCGAAACAGUUAAAUAUUGGUAGACAUAUCCAAAAUCCACCUGACCAAGGGUCAGGUAGCCCUGGUGGCAAGGAACGGAAGAGAUAUUUAUACCGCCAAAUUGCCACUGAUGUAGAUUUAUCUGUGGAAACAGUAUUAGCUGUAAAGAAUAAGAGUGUCCUCUUUAAUGAAAAAAUAACCAACACAAGUGUUAUGCAUGCAAAGAAAAUGCCACAUAAAGCUUUGGUUAACCCAGAAAUGCUUCACAUUACAGGCAUGAGCAAAGUGUCACCUACUAAGAGAAGUAUAUCUGAAACAGUAACCCAUAAGGCUAAAAUCAUGAAAAUAGCAGCUAAAAAGUGUAACAGUGUACAUGUCACUUUUAGGCCAUCUACCGAAUCUGUUCAAUUUUAUAAUCCAUUAGAAAACAGAGAGGCCCCAUGGAAAGCACGUCUCCGUAAACUCAGUGGUUUCAAUAGUGGGAGCAGCAGCAGCAAUAGCAGCAGCAAUAUGAGCACUGGCUCAUCUGCUGCGGCUGUGACAAUCAGACCCGGAAUAUAUAGGCCUCUAGACACAGCCAGUGCAACUUCUGCUAAUAGUAAACAGAUUAAAGAAUCAGGAGAAGUUCCAGCACCUACGCUGCAGAAGGAAAGUAUUGGAAUAAAUCCGAUGCCUAAUCGUAGCCCACCUAAGCCAUCGAGUCAGGAGUCGGGACAACAGCAGGGCGCCCUGGGUGGUGUUUAUAAAUCUGUUGUACAUGCUCUUUCGAAGCCGAAGGCAAAUGUUUCCCCACAGAGGCAGAACAGAGUGCCAGCAGAGGCUCCACUGAGGGAUCUGUACAGUCAUGUAAUGGGCUAUUUUGGAAAGAAAGCUGCAGCCAAUAGAGAGGAUAUGAACCAAAAGCAGAACCCUCUUGGUAGUGAUAAUGGCAGUAGUAAUACAAAUAUUCCUGACCUCAUGGAUGAAUUCAUAGCUGAAAGAUUACGCAGUGGCAGCACUUUGAAUGUGACAAGACGGGGGAGUAGUCCAGGAAGCCUAGAAGUUCCAAAAGAUCUUCCCGAUAUAUUGAACAAACAGAGUCAAAUGCGCCCUGCAGAUGACCCAGGCGUGCCUUCUGAGUGGACGUCUCCUGCCAGUGCCGGCAGCAGUGACCUGGUCAGUUCUGACAGCCAUUCGGACUCCUUCAGCGCAUUCCAGUAUGAUGGCCACAAAUUUGAAAAUUUCAGCUUGUGUCCUGAAGGUGGCACAACUUCUACAGAAUCCGAUGGUGGUUUGGGAAAUCAACAAAGUGCUGAAGAGCAAGAAGUAGCUAGUCUAACUACACUCCAUAUUGAUUCUGAGACCAGCAGUCUCAAUCAACAACCACUGUCUGCUGAAGCAGCAACUGUUACAGGUUCUGAAAGUGCUUCGCCAGUCCAGUCUGCCAUUGGAUCACGGUCCCAAACUCCAUCACCUGCUACUUUGAGUGCAGAUCACAAUGAACAGAAAGACCUACAGCUGGAUGAGAAGCUCCACCACUCUGUUUUACAGACACCAGAUGAUCUAGAAACUAGUGAUUUUCCAUCUGAAUGUUGUAGUGUGAUGGCAGGAGGAACCUUGACAGGAUGGCAUGCAGAUGUGGCUACUGUAAUGUGGAGAAGGAUGCUAGGAAUUUUAGGAGAUGUCAAUUCCAUUAUGGACCCUGAAAUUCAUGCACAAGUUUUUGAUUACCUUUGUGAACUCUGGCAAAAUCUUGCUAAGAUUAGAGAUAAUCUUGGCAUUUCAAUUGAUAACAUGACAUCACCUUCUCCGCCAGUUUUAAUUCCUCCACUGAGGAUUCUAACUCCAUGGCUUUUCAAGGCAACCAUGCUGAGUGAUAAGUAUAAGCAAGGCAAGUUGCAUGCUUAUAAACUCAUUUGUAAUACAAUGAAGCGAAGACAAGAUGUUUCCCCGAACAGGGACUUUUUAACGCAUUUCUAUAAUAUAAUGCACUGUGGGCUACUCCAUGUUGAUCAGGAUAUUGUAAAUACAAUAAUCAAGCACUGUUCGCCUCAGUUUUUUUCACUUGGUUUGCCUGGUGCUACUAUGCUCAUCAUGGACUUCAUUGUAGCAGCUGGCAGAGUGGCAGCAUCAUCUUUUCUCAAUGCACCAAGAGUAGAAGCACAAGUUCUCUUAGGUUCUUUGGUCUGUUUUCCGAAUUUGUACUGUGAACUACCAGCCCUAUACCCAAACACUCCAGACAUUGUUGUGUCUCAGUUUACAGAAGCUAAGGAAGUGAUCAUCAAAACAAUAUUAAGUUCUGCAAGAGAGGAACCAUCUGGACCUGCAAGAUGUGUUGCUCUUUGUAGUCUUGGCAUAUGGAUCUGUGAAGAAUUGAUGCAUGAAUCUCACCAUCCCCAAAUCAAGGAAGCCCUAAAUGUGAUCUGUGCCUCAUUAAAAUUUCCAAAUAAAACAGUUGCACAUGUUGCCUGUAAUAUGCUCAAUAUGCUGAUUCAGUAUGCAGACAGAUUACAAAUGUACCAAGCUGAUUCACCAUUAAAAAUUAUUCAAAUCCUGAUAGCUACCAUCACUCAUCUGUUGCCUAGUACUGAAGCUUCUUCAUAUGAACUGGACAAGAGGCUGGUGGUAUCUUUACUCCUGUGUCUGUUGGAUUGGAUAAUGGCCUUGCCUCUAAAGAGACUGUUACAACCUGUUCAAACUGCAGGAUCUGAAAAUGAUAAAACUGAAAAAACUGUUCUCAGCUGUAUAUACAAGGUUCUUCAUGGAUGUGUCUAUGGAUCUCAGUGCUUUAGCAACUCAAAAUAUUUUCCUAUAAGCCUCUCUGAUUUGGCGUCGCCGGAUUAUGAUCCUUUUAUGCAUUUGGAAAGUUUGAAGGAGCCUGAACCAUUACAUUCACCUGAUUCAGAAAGGUCUUCAAAACUCCAGCCAGUCACAGAAGUAAAAUCUCAUAUGCAACAAGGACUGAUCUCUGUGGCAGCUCGGACUGUGAUUACUCAUCUCGUAAACCAUUUAGGCCAUUAUCCAAUGAGUGGAGGACCUGCUAUGCUAACAAGUCAAGUAUGUGAAAACAAUGACAAUCCUUACAGCGAAAGUCCUGAGCUUUCCCCCGACCUAUUUGAGAAUCCCAACCUCCAAUUUUUUGUAUUGAACAAUACAACUUUAGUUUCAUGUAUACAAAUCCGAGCAGAAGAGAACAUGCCUGGAGGAGGCUUGUCUGCUGGACUUGCAUCUGCUAAUUCAAAUGUCAGAAUUAUUGUACGUGAUCUCUCUGGGAAAUAUUCCUGGGAUUCUGCCAUUCUGUACGGACCUCCACCUCUCUGUGGGUUAACUGAACCAACGCCUUUUGUGCUCUCAUUAGCCCAUCAAGACAAACCAGAAGAGGCCUCAGAAUGUUCUCCAUAUGUAGAAGAAUUAUGUGUAAAAGACGGAACUGUGCUCCCAGUAAAAAGGAAAUUGAGAGAGACUAUGCCAACAUGGGACACAAUUCGGGAUGAAGAAGAUGCCCUUGAUGAGCUCUUGCACUAUAUAGGAAUGACAAGUCCUGAGUGCUUGCAGAGGACAGGGGUAUCACUCAAUGUUCCUGCUCCUCAACCUGUUUGUGUCUCCGAAAAGCAGGAAAACGAUGUCAUCAAUGCAAUUCUCAAACAACACACAGAAGAGAGAGAUUUUGUUGAAAAGCACUUCAGUGACUUAAAUAUGAAGGCUAUGGAGCAGGAUGAACCAACCCCACAGAAGCCCUAUUCAGCAUUUUACUAUUGCAGAUUGCUUCUUAGUAUUCUGGGAAUGAAUUCUUGGGAUAAAAGGAGAAGCUUCCAUCUCUUGAAAAAAAAUGAAAAGCUACUUCGAGAACUUAGAAAUCUGGACUCAAGACAAUGCCGAGAGACGCACAAAAUUGCAGUAUUUUAUGUUGCUGAGGGUCAAGAGGAUAAACACUCCAUCCUUACUAAUACUGGAGGAAGCCAAGCAUAUGAGGAUUUUGUAGCAGGCCUUGGUUGGGAGGUAAACCUCACAAACCAUUGUGGCUUCAUGGGAGGGUUGCAGAAAAACAAAAGCACUGGAUUAACCACUCCAUAUUUUGCUACCUCUACUGUGGAAGUAAUGUUUCAUGUAUCAACUAGAAUGCCUUCUGAAUCAGAUGACUCAUUAACAAAAAAGUUAAGACAUUUGGGAAAUGAUGAAGUUCACAUUGUCUGGUCAGAGCAUACUCGAGACUACAGAAGAGGAAUAAUUCCUACAGAAUUUGGAGAUGUUCUCAUUGUUAUAUAUCCAAUGAAGAAUUUCAUGUUCAGUAUUCAGAUAAUGAAAAAACCUGAGGUUCCAUUCUUUGGUCCGUUGUUUGAUGGUGCUAUUGUAAAUGGAAAGAUUCUUCCUAUUAUGGUUCGUGCAACAGCUAUCAAUGCAAGCAGAGCGUUGAAGUCCCUCAUUCCGUUAUACCAAAACUUCUAUGAGGAACGAGCUCGGUAUCUGCAAACGAUUGUUCAGCACCAUUUAGAUCCUUCAACCUUUGAAGAUUAUGCAGCUCAGGUUUUCUGUCCAGCACCCUGCCACCACUUGCCCUCCGAAAAUGAUACCAAAUUUUCUGUUAAAGAAGUAAUGCCCAGGAACACAUCUACUUCCUUAACUGAGGUAUAUCUGUAUGAGCAUUUUUUGAGAUUUGUAUAAUUGGGAUUCUACACAUAGAAUGGGUGCUGUCAGAUCCUGAUUCUCUUUCCCCCAGAGGGUUAUAGAAACACCAGGAAAAAAAUGAAGGUUAGUUUGAGGAUUUCUGUUUGAAGCAGGGAAUUAUCUUUUUCUGCUACUAGUUAUGGAAGAUUCUUUGAGAUCUCUCCCAUUUCCAUAAAGGGGAGAGGCGUGCUCCUGCAAAUAGAAGAGGUCCUUUUGCUCAUGGAUGGAUACUUUUGGAUCCACCCAUGUUGCAAGGGUGUUGGAUUGGAGUCCCAUGUCCUUGUCAUCUUUGAACAUAAUUAAUGGUAGAAGAUACUUUGGAGAUUUUCUGCUGUUCUGUUUCUGAUCAAAGAUAGCAUGGUCUCCUCUUCCUCCCAAAACAGUUGUUGGGAGAGAGAGAUCAGCAUAACAAAUUUGGUGACCCAAAUUCUGACAGUCAGUGGCUUAAAUUAGGCAUGAAGUUAAAUAAUUCUUCUUUUCUGUACUUUGUAAAUCUAAAAAAUGUGUUCAAAACCUUCAAAGUGUUUCUUAAGAACAACUAAACUGCUAAAAUCUUUUACCUUAUAUAGACUCCUUCAGUCAUCCACAUACAUCAGUAAAUUACCGAAAUCUAUAUCAGCCACAAAAUCUAACCAAUUUGUUAUUUUACAAAAUUCAUAGUAGUAGUACCCCACUUUUCUCCCCUUACUGGGACCCAAAGUGCCUCACAGCCUUAAAAACUAUUCAUUGUAAAAAACCUACAAAAUGCAAAUAUUAAAAUAGAAUUAAAUAUUACAAUUAUUAAAGCAGUUAUCAAAACAAAUAAAAUAACUGUUAAAAAUAACUAACCCCAUGUAGAACUUCUUGUCCCAUUCUUUAAAACUUUCUGCUUAAAAUCCUUCCUGACUAAAAUGGUUUCAGCUUGCCGGUGGAAGGAUAACAAGGAGGCAGCCAGUCUCCCUUGGUGGUGGGACUGAGAGAAGGACCUCUCCUAAGGAUCUCUGAAUCCAGGCAGGGAGAUACAAUCUUCCAAAUAGUUUGGAUCUGACCUAUAUAAACCAUGUCCCUAAAAUGUAAGCUCUUUAAUUCUUCAUAUUUAUUAAUAGGGAGUUUUUUGGCCAAGAUCCUGCAUAGUCAGGAAGAUUAUACUUGCAAGUAUGAAAUAAUUACAUCUGACAGUGCCACACCCCAAAACUCUUUAUUUUUCAGUUUUGCAGCACCCCAACUGAAGGAUUUCCAAGGUGUUAUGGAGGGGGGGGGCGAAGGCGAAGGGGGGGUGGAGAGAACCUCUGGAGUCCUUCCACAACUGCUUGCCUUGAAGCACUCCAUGACUAAGAGAGCAAUACUAAGACCUGCAACACUUUGAACAUCCUCUAUUGGGGCACUGCCAGGCUGAAAAAGUAGGAUUUGGAGUUUGUGUCCAAUAAAUGUGAAUCCCCAACAAUUACAAAAUUGUACAUCCAGUUUACUAUUUCAUAAAUAUUGAACAAGAUACCAGCCUAAAUAUAUGUAGGUUAUUUGUUUAUUACUAUUUUUAAUAGUAGCUGCAAUACUUUUAUAUCUGAUUUUUGGAUUACAGUGAACAUUUUUUGCAUGUUAAUUGUAAUACAUUGACAUAUUUAACAAAUCCAAAUAGAUUACAUAUGAAAUUAAAAUUAUGGAAAAAAUUAGUUACUAGAUAAAUCACAUGUCCAUUGUUAUCAUAUAAAACUUAAAAUUGCACUGCUCUGCAAUCCUACACAUACACACCCCAAAUGCUAAUUGAUUUUGUUUCCUAUGAACAUACAUAGACUUAUUCUGCACUUAUACCCCUGGUUUAUCAAGCUGCUGUUUUCACAAGCACUAAAUAUAUUCUAAAUAUAAAUAUUUAGCAUUUAUAUCUAGCAUUUAUAGUUCUUUUGCAAGUUGGUGAUUUUUACUGUUGAAUGUUCUCAGUGGAAUAUGUUUUGAACUAAGAGAAUAGGCAUAAUUUUAAAAAUAACUUCAUUUAUUUCAUUAAACUUAGAGAAAUUGUUGUUUAUCUACACUAGCUGUUGUCAUGGUAAUAUUUUAUCCUAGGGGUUUUUUAAUCAAAAUGAGUGAAUUAUAUUUUUAUCAUAAUGUUAUAUCUUAUUUAUAGCAAUGAGGCUGUUGGAUCAGAACUAUUUUUAUACACAUCUUCUUUUUCCCUUUUUUUUGUUUGGAUUUUUGGGGGUAACCUAUAGUCGGCUCCUACCCAGAGACUCAGGCGUCCGAAGCUCCAGCAGCAGCGCAGAUGGACGGGCCCGAUCUAGCCUUCCCCAUUUCACCCCGGUCUAGCAAGAGUCGCAUGUCUAUGAAGCUGCGGCGAUCCUCU